GAUGGCCGAGAAUCAGGGCUCUGA
RNAcentral lists this non-coding RNA (24 nucleotides) under Arabidopsis thaliana (thale cress). Lineage: Eukaryota; Viridiplantae; Streptophyta; Magnoliopsida; Brassicales; Brassicaceae. The record is from RNAcentral.